UGUAGUGAAAUUGCAGUCACUGCAAGCAAACCUUUGUAUUCAUUCAUUUUAUUUCUUUAGCCAUCCAUCGGUCCCAGCCAUGGUUUCACCACAAGAUUUCCAGAGAUGAAGCUCAGCGAUUGAUUAUUCAGCAAGGACUUGUGGAUGGGUAAGUUUGAUACUUUUAGAGUAGAAUUUGGGUUUGGAUUUUUCCAGUAAAUAAUAAUCAUUUAUUCAGUGCACAGCAAGUGUUUUUAAUUUUGGCUUAUCAUAACACAGAAAUGACUUUGUUCUGUAUGAGUAGCUAUCACUGGAUUCUAGCAAUAUCUGUAUAAUACCCAGUACACAGAGUGUGCUUAGUAUUUGUGUAUAAAUUAACAGAGAAGAGAAUAGUAUUCUUUUUUCUUGCCUAGGAGCACUAAUGUUAUCCAUUCUGUGCCAAUUCUAGAAUUUUAGAUAUUAAUUCAUGAGAGGAAAAAAACUAACCUUGUUUUUGUGUAUCAAUGUUUCAAUUUGAACAAGUAAUUAAUAUGAUUCUAAAAUAUGAUUUACACUAUGACAUUAUCCUAUACAUUGUAAUUCUAUUUAGGUAUAAUGCAGGGUAUAUUAAGUAGAAAAUUUUUUUCUGAUUUUUUCAAUGUUUGCUUUUAUUUCUGUUUACAUCCCUAUUGCUUUUUCUCUAAAUGUUAACAGCUUAAAAAUAUGAAUAUAUUAAAAGUGUACUUUUUGAUGAUUUUUUUUUUGGUGUUAUCUUUUAAUGGGAUACCAUGGAGUACACAGGAGAAGCUUAAAAUAUUUUAUGAGAGAUUUAUAAUCUGAAGGAUUUUCUUCUCACAUUACUCAGUUUCAGGUACUUUAAUACUGCUAAGUUCCUUCCCAAAUGCAGUACAAUGAGAACAUUUUAUUGAGGAUUGGAUGAGAAAUGAAACCAUUGUCAGUUUAAACAACUGGAGAAAGAAUCUUUUGUCUUCAAAGGUUGACUUAAGAUGACGACAAGGGUUUGAGGAGAUUUAAUACUGACAUUGGGUAAAAAUGCAUCUUCAUGUGGAAGAUUAUUAAUAACAAGUCAGCAUUUCAUCAGAGUCUAAAUAAGAAAGGAUUUUAAUAUACUUCUCUGCUUGGAGCAUGGUCAAGUUUUGGAUAUAAAUUUGAACAGUGAUCAGAGUUACAAUCCAGUGAUGUCAGGAAAAGAAAAAAUAAUAAAGAAUGAUUUAAAUGUCUUAGAAGAUUAUAAUUCCCUUUAUUUAUGAAUUUGUAACCUGGAGAAAAUAAUUGUACAAAGUAAUCAUGCCUGUUUCUAUAAUUUUGGUAUUCCUUUGGAAAGUUGUGAAGGUGUCAGGUGGUCCACCAGGUGGUAAUGGUGAUCUGCUUGGGAAGAGGAAGAAUUACUGCUUAAUUUUUCCAUGAAGGGGCCUUUGUCCUCUCUCCCAAUGAUGUAAUGUCAGAGUCUCACAAAUAAAAUGGAUAAUUUCAUCAGACAUCUGUGAUGCCUCAGAUUUGGCUGACUCUUUGCCCAGGCACAGUGAGAUUAGUAUUGAAGUCACCAGUGGGGACCACAUACACAGUGUUUUUGCCAGUAAUUAAUACAAAACUGGCUUUUCACUGCAUUGACAGUAAAUAAGAAUCCAUACCCGGAAGCCUUUUUCUCUGAGACCAUUAGACCACAUCUUCUUUUUGUAACCUGACAUUAAUAGAGGCUUUCCCACUGCAUUCUUCAAGGUUAAAGUGCACGUUGGGUAUAUUUUUUUCAACUUGAAACAUUUUUACUUAAACAUUUAAUAAACAAUUUAAAUAUGGAUUUUAAGGAUAUAGCAUUUCUUAUUUUCUGUCGUGUAACAGUAGAAGCUAGAAUCAAAAUAAAAAGCAGACCAAGUGUAGAAAAGGGGGUAAAAAUGAUUUUACUCUAAAUCAUUAUGAUAUAUAUAUAUAUAUAUAUAUAUAUAUAUAUAUAUACACACACACACUCAUCCCUUAUUCGUUCUCAUCCCUUAUUCUUUCUGUUAGUUACAUGGGAAUACCCAAUUUCCCAGUGGAAAAAGGACAACAUGAAUUGUUGAUGCCAACGGAAUAUUUUGCUGGGUAUUGUAAGCAAACAAUGUCACAAAUAGACUGUGUAUUUAUCAUAUUAAAAUUACAUUAGCACUGAUGACAGUUUUGUAGUAUGAGAUUAUGUUGUAACAUAUCAUUCACCAAGUUGAAUAAUCAUACCCACUGAAUACACAGUUAAGGAGAUCCCAGCUACAGCUUUUGUGAGUACACAUUCUGGGUUUGUUACAUGCUAUGUUUCUAUGAAAUCUGUGAGUAAAUAUAGAAACGUAUUGAAAUUCUUCCUCUCUCUUUUUAUAGUUUUCUUGGUAAGGGGCAGUCAGAAUAACCACAAAACUUUCGUCCUGUCAAUGAGUCAUGGACAAAAAAUAAAACACUUUCAUAUUAUACCACUAAGUAAUUUGUGAUUUCACAUUCUAAGCUUUUGGAAACUUUGUUUUUCUGUUGUUCCAUUUAUUAAAUAUAAUGUUAGGUGCUUGUGCUUUGACCAGAGUUAAGUUUGGCAGAAAUGGUUUUAUGAGCCUGAAUUAAUAUAAGAAAUACAGGAAUUGUAAAAAUUAAAUUUAUCUUUUUUCCACGAAAUAAGAUUUAGCAAUAUUGUAUAGACCCCAUGCCACCUAUUGUUAAAAGGCCACUAAAGAUUCUUUUUUCUGAGUUCUAACCAUUCCUUUAAAAAAACAUUAUUUUAAAACCUUUUCUCUUCUCUUCUCUCAAAGACAUUUUUUGCUAUUAUUGUUGGUAGUUCAUUUGUUUUAAAUUAUUUGUAUAGAAACACAGGAACUGUGAAAUUUGUGGACUUUAAAUAAUCCUGGGAACAUUUUUAAAAUAUCUGUGACUCUGUUUCUGGCUGGCACAACUUGCUUUUUUUUUUUUUUUUUUUUGCUUCUGCUGUUGUGUGUCAGCAUGUGCACAUAUGUACAUAUGUGAUGUGCACAUUGGAAUCUGGCAGAGUAAAACAGAUUCAAUCUACUUUCAGGAAGGUCUUAUUUAAAUUACUAAUGCUUUCCUUUGAAUUGCCUCUUUUGUAAAUCAUCCAGAGGCCAUAUAGAGUACCAACCCUGCUUCUUUGAUUAUUUGAUCAGUGUCCCCAGCAAGUAUGAGCUUUUAAUGCUAGAAGACUUCACCACCAAACAAAAAAAGCCAACUGACAUUCCAUUAGCAUAAUAUUUUAUUGCUUCAGAAUGAAUUUCCUGAUAAAAAUUAUAUGACUAGUCAUUUUAAUAUACUGAGGCAUUAAGUAGACAAUGUUUAGAAAUAGAAAUUAAUUUCUGUACAUGGAAGCAUUAAAAUCUCCUGUCUACUUUUACACUGAAUAGUACAGAUUUCUCUCUGUUCAUUGACUCAAAAUUGUUAAACUAUACUAACUAAACAGAACUCUGGGAGAAUUAGAUGCAGAGAAAGUGGAGGCAUGUUUCUUAUCCAAGGAUCAUAUGAUACUUCUUUUAAAUGUAAGUGAAAUUAAAGAAGUGGGCUGCCAUGCCGUUCUCUGCAUAGUCCUUAUUUUAAUAAACUUGUCAAUUUUGGCAUGAAAACAUAGCUUGCAGUGGAACAACCAUCAUCCUUCUGGAUUCUUUACCCUCUUUACCAGCUUGUUGUUUUUCCUAUUGCAGGUGGAAGAUGAUGGUGAAAUGUUCCACACGCUAGAUGAUGGCCACACUAGAUUUAUUGAUCUAAUCCAGCUAGUGGAGUUCUACCAACUCAAGAAGGGUGUUCUUCCUUGCAAGUUGAAACAUUAUUGUUCUAGGAUUGCUCUGUAGCUGAACCAGAAGUGAUGUGUUAAACUGUUGAAGAAAAAAGACUCAAGGGGAAAAAUAUUAAAAAGAGAGCAUAAAUAAGGGUAAAAAAUACUGUGGUGAAAGGAAUAUUUCACCUGCAAGUUAUAAAAAAAUAUUUUGUGCAUUGCAAAUAAGCAAAAACUUGGAUUGGCAUUACAAUCCUCAUUUAAAAUUUGUAAGUUGAAAUUAAACCUUAGGAAAAAAUGAUUUGUUGUGUUCUUUUGUGGUUUCAUAUAUUACUGUAUUUUCUUCAAAUAUGAAUACUUCAAACAUUUAUCUGCUCCUUUUUAAAAUAUGACAGCCCUAGAAUUCUCAAACACCAAAUAUGAAGAAGAAAUCAGGUUUCAGAAUGACCUUUUUGCAAACUGAAUUCCAGUUAUACUACUUUUUUAAUAUUAAG
This 4200-nucleotide long non-coding RNA is filed under the name Marmota monax (woodchuck). The record is from RNAcentral. Lineage: Eukaryota; Metazoa; Chordata; Mammalia; Rodentia; Sciuridae.